This 88-nucleotide transfer RNA is filed under the name Streptomyces zinciresistens K42. Its description in RNAcentral is "tRNA-Asn". It matches the Rfam family "tRNA". Rfam says of the family: Transfer RNA (tRNA) molecules are approximately 80 nucleotides in length. Their secondary structure includes four short double-helical elements and three loops (D, anti-codon, and T loops). Further hydrogen bonds mediate the characteristic L-shaped molecular structure. tRNAs have two regions of fundamental functional importance: the anti-codon, which is responsible for specific mRNA codon recognition, and the 3' end, to which the tRNAs corresponding amino acid is attached (by aminoacyl-tRNA synthetases). tRNAs cope with the degeneracy of the genetic code in two manners: having more than one tRNA (with a specific anti-codon) for a particular amino acid; and 'wobble' base-pairing, i.e. permitting non-standard base-pairing at the 3rd anti-codon position. Lineage: Bacteria; Bacillati; Actinomycetota; Actinomycetes; Kitasatosporales; Streptomycetaceae. The record is from RNAcentral.
GGAGGAUUGGCCGAGUGGCAAGGCACCGGCUCAUUGAGCCGUGGUCGGGGGAGACCCCGCGCACGUUCGAACCGUGCAUCCUCCGCGA